GCGUGCGGGAAGAAGGCCUUCGGGUUGUAAACCGCUUUUGUCAGGGAAGAAAAGCUGCGCGCUAAUACCGUGCGGUCAUGACGGUACCUGAAGAAUAAGCACCGGCUAACUACGUGCCAGCAGCCGCGGUAAUACGUAGGGUGCAAGCGUUAAUCGGAAUUACUGGGCGUAAAGCGUGCGCAGGCGGUUAUGCAAGACAGAUGUGAAAUCCCCGGGCUUAACCUGGGAACUGCAUUUGUGACUGCAUAGCUAGAGUACGGUAGAGGGGGAUGGAAUUCCGCGUGUAGCAGUGAAAUGCGU
This 300-nucleotide ribosomal RNA is filed under the name uncultured bacterium. RNAcentral describes it as "bacterial SSU rRNA". It matches the Rfam family "Bacterial small subunit ribosomal RNA", at positions 399 to 691 of the family's 1533-position model. The record is from RNAcentral.